ACAGGAACUCCAACUACUAUUUGUAAACUGAUGACUUUCAAACUUUUUCCCCAAGAUUGACCACUUCCUGAACUUCAAGCUAGGCAUUUUUUUGGUGUCUCACCACACUUCGAAAUUAAUAUGCCCCAAACUGAAUUCCUAUCCCCACCUCUGUGUCUCACCAAACCUGCCACUUCUCAGCAUUUUCUGCCCUCCUAGAAUCUCUGACUCUGAGGGUAGCAUAGCUAUCUACAUAGUCACAUAAGUAUCAGUCCUAGAAAUAGUUCAGUGGGAAAGAAGUCCAAGGCUAUAGAAAAAAAAUUUUUUGAAGUGAUUUUUGGGGUAAAUAAUAGGGAAAUAUUGUAUUUAUAUGCAAGGUGUUAAAAAAUUAUGGAUAAGAGCAGAGAUUAUAACGUUCAAAAAUACUGAAGAAAUACAUUUUAGUUCUCACCAAAAAUCUGUUCUUGCACAUCCUUACCCCAAUAAAAAUUCUGAUGUUUGCCUUCCAGGGGCAGGGGCUGAUGGGCACUUGACCUUUGGGCUAGACAACAAGCCUCUAAGCAAGGCUUCUAUCUUCAGAGAGGAUUUUCUAAAUCCUUCCUCUUCUCUUUUAGCAUUUCAAGAACCAAGCCUGGAGGCCUCAGGUCAAAACAUUCUUCCCAAUUAUGGAAAAGAAACAAGUGAGCCCAAGGCUUUCUGUUGUAUGUUGGAAAAUGGUCAUGAGGACUACAGAAGAAAAAAGGAGUGAGAGAGAGAGAUAGGGAGCUCCAUCUUCAGUGUUCAGAGUUUAGAAUAUUCCGAGAUGGUGUUCCAAUUCAUGUGGCCAAAUUGUAUUUUCUGGGCUUUUAUGAAAAAGAAUAUAAUAUUUGGUCCAAUAUUAUGUUUGCCUUGACAUAUGAGAAACUGAGAGCAACUUGAAUGACCUAACCACAAGUUCCCCUCCCUGCUCUGCUCCUGUGGAUAAGGUCCACUAGCCAAACCACCUCCUAUCACAGUGACCAGGUACAGUUCCUGCUUAUCUCUGAGUGGUGGUCUUCAAUUCCCUAUAAGCUCCUUGAAUUACUCAAACAAACCAAUUAUUCUUCUGUGGGAAUACCCUCUUGAUAAUACACGCCCGGCUCCCAUGGGUCAUGGUGUGUGCUAUUCUCCUCCCCCAGGCUAUGAGCACAUGGGACAAGUUAACUGUUUUCCAUCUCAUCUGCCCAGUGUUGGGUGCCGUGUGUUCAGACAUCCACAUAACCCUAGGAAGGGAAUCCCUUCCUCACCAACAGGAUGAAAAGGAGGCAAUUAAAAUAGGGAUGUAUUUUAAAUAAGUCUGGAAAUUCCACAAGAAUACAGGUUUCUGCCCUCUUCCCAUUUAAGGCUUUGGAAAGUCAUCCCUGUACCAAGAAUGAACAAAGAGUAAGCAGACAGGGUCCCCAGUGAAUCAGACAUGGCUUUCUUGACGUAAGAGAUGCCAUUUUUGGCCUGAAUCAUUUUGUAACCUAAGCCUGCCUCAGUGCUUUUCCUUGAACAGGAUUUAGUAAUUAUUGAUCUUAAGGGGACAAAAUAAUGCAGGAACAAAGGACUGUUAUCUGUCAUGGGGGAUAAUAGUAGCAAAGAUGUAAUAUCAGUUGUAAAGAUUCCCAGUUUUGUUUUGGUGGUAAAGAUUAGCCUGAAAUGUCCAACCACUGAAUCAACUGGAACCUAAGAGAUGAUGAUGUUGACCCUUUCUGACCCUCACGACUUCAAUCAACUCAAGCUAGGACUCUGUUGACCUUUGCCUCAAUUCUACUCGAAAUUCUCCUCUGCUCAAGCACUUUCAUGAAUAUGCAUGUACCCUUAGUUUAAAACUCCCACAGUUUUGCUGCUGGGGAGACAGUGCUUUGGGAAAGAUCCCUGGUGUUCUCCUUGCUAUAAGGAAACUGAAGAUGAAGAACUUACAUAAUUUGUCCCCUGUCACUCAGCAAGUAAACUGCAGGGCUAGAAUCUCAGCCUAGGUUCCGACAUCAGUGGUCCUGAUCUCAAUUCUGUACUGCAUUUUUCUUCUGGGAAAAGCAGAAAACUGUUCUGUGUUGCUACAAGUAUUACCCAGCUCAGCUCCAACCAAGCACAACUGACUCCAAACUCCUGGAAAACAACUUGGGCAAACAUCUUAUUGUAGGCGACCUGCUUUUUUGGAGGACAUGCAAGUCUUUUGUAGCAACAAUGAAAACAAUUUUGACUAGUGAAGGCAGGUGAAAUGGAUGUGGCUAAAGAUUACUGAAAGAUUCAAGUUCUGUCAUAAUCAUGGUCAUGUGUCACCGGACAAAGCAAAGAAAAUACUGCAGGCUCAAGUGGGCAGCAGAAUCAUGAUGCCUCACAGAUCAGGGAUGAGUAGUCUCUCAGUCAUAAAAGCAGAGGACAGGAGCAGAAUUAAUCUUAAAGAGGGGCAUUUUGAUUUUAUAGAAAAUCACAAGAGCUCUGGGGUCUAACUGGCUAUCACUUACUAAAGUAUAAUAAGAUUAAAUAUGUGCUCUUUUUCAUCUAUAAAAUGAAGAUAAUAAAACAUCCCUGAAAAAUUGCUGUAAGGAUUAAAUCAGAUAACAUUGAUUCAACCAAUUUACUCAGCUUCCUUCACAUGGCAGGCCCUGAUCAGACCAUGUCUGGACCAUGUGGGCUAAAUCUGGGUCCAAUUGGAUUGGUCCAGAGGGGACAGUGAAAAAAAGUAACUAUGACAGAGGAGCUAUAGAUUAGAGAACUAGAAAUAUUACUCUUGUUAAAAUAAAUUGCAUAAUGAGGGUAUAAGAGCUGUCAUUUGGCUAUCUUCCAAUUUUGGAAGCUAGAUGGGAAAAUCUUUCUCUGGUCAAUAUGUGUUCAUGCUGAGAAAUAUCUUUGUAAUAAUUGGGGAUCUCCAAAUAAAGCUCUCUAAGUAGAACUGGAUAUCUAUCUAUCUAUUGUUGAUAUUGCAGAAAGAAGAUAUUGGAAAAGGUGUCCUAAAAUAUUUUUCAAGUAAGAUUAUAUACACACAAAUAAACACACACACUGCAGUGUUUACCAACACCAACAACCAAUUCUCCAGACACCUAGGUGUCCAACAAUUCAAUUCACUUCUGACAGUAACUACCCAGACUUCACACAGACCCCACAAACAAAGGCUUGGUCCUACAAGAUGGCCUCAAUUACGACAUCAGUUACAAGCCCUGGGACUCUUCCACCUCUGACCAACUGGCUAUGGACUGAUGUUUCCAUGACCCCCUCUUCAGUGGCAAAAAUUUACUAGAAUGGUUCACACAAUGUAGAAGUCACUUUACCUAUUAUUGUAAGUUUAAUAUAAAGGACAAACCUCAGGAACAGCCCAUGGAAGAGAUUCAUAGAGCAAAGUAUAGGAUAUGGAGCUUGCAGACCCUUCCUCAGCCUGGCACCUCUCAGCUCCUCCUUGUGUUCACCAACCUGGAAGCUCUCCAAACCCCAUCAUUUAGGGGUUUUUACAGAGGUUUCUUUUUGCAAACAUGAUUGAUUAUAAACUCAAUCUCUGUCCUCUCCCAUCUUCAGGGGUUGGGAAGAUGUGGCUAAAAGUUCUAGGAUUUUAAUCAAGAUUUGGUCUUUCUGGUGACUAGGCCUUAUCCUGAUUCUGUCUGUCUAGGAUCCUCUUAGGAGUUACUUCAUUAAAAUAAAAGACAUUCUUCUCUCUCAGGAAAUUCCAAGGGAUUUAGGAGCUCUGUGUCAGGAACCAAAGACCAAAUAUGAAUUUCUUUUUAUGCCGUGCAUAUACACAGAGGUUGUUAUAUACUUAUAUAUACUGUAGUUGUUAAAACAAGUCUGAACACAUGUUGAAUACUACUCGUGACUGGCAUUCACCUUAAACUAUAGAAAAUGGGAACACCAAGCUGGAUUCAUUCAUAAAGAAGAGAGAACAAGGAAAUUGUUGACAGUAUCUACACAGGCAAAUGUGGAUGACUAUAUUUUUCUAAAUGAUGCAAUAUUUAUCAUCUCAUCUCAGCUACUCUUUUUAUAAUGUAACUUUGACCCUCUUUCCAUGAAGAGGUGUGUCUGUGGUCCUUCCUUGUAAACCUAGUAGGAGUUUUAUGACAGCUUAACCAUAGAAUUAGUGAAAGUGAUACAAUGUGACUUCUGAUGUUAGGUCAUAAAAAGGUUGUAAUUUCUACCUGGCUUGCUCUUUUUGGCAUGCUUACUCUGGGGAAGCCAGCCACCACACAAGAGGCUGUUCAAACUAGCCUUUCUGGAGAAAUUACAAGAAUGAGCUAUAUGGAGAGGACUAGUCUCCCCAUUGAUAGCCAGCAUCAACAAAUUUGCAUAUAAUUCUAGCAUCUGGCCUUCAGGACUUUCAUUUGAGGCUUCAGACAUUUGGGGGUAAAGAUAAGUCAUCCUUGCUGUGCACUGUCUGAAUCCCUGAUACACAGAGUCAGUGGGUAAAAUAAAUGAGUAUUUUAUACUAGUAAGCUUAGGGGUAAUUUUUAACUUAGUUAUAUGUAUU
Sus scrofa (pig) is the source of this 4435-nucleotide non-coding RNA. The record is from RefSeq and is a predicted model, not a curated record. NCBI's taxonomy places the organism in Eukaryota, Metazoa, Chordata, Mammalia, Artiodactyla, Suidae.